Molecule: ribosomal RNA, 497 nt
Filed under: uncultured bacterium
Lineage: Bacteria
Description: partial 16S ribosomal RNA
Rfam family: Bacterial small subunit ribosomal RNA
Source: RNAcentral
GAUGAACGCUGGCGGCGUGCCUAAUACAUGCAAUUCGAGCGAACGGACGAGAAGCUUGCUUCUCUGUUUUUAGCGGCGGACGGGUGAGUAACACGUGGAUAACCUCCCUAUAAGACUGGGAUAACUUCGGGAAACCGGAGCUAAUACCGGAUAAUAUUUUGAACCGCAUGGUUCAAAAGUGAAAGACGGUCUUGCUGUCACUUAUAGAUGGAUCCGCGCUGCAUUAGCUAGUUGGUAAGGUAACGGCUUACCAAGGCAACGAUGCAUAGCCGACCUGAGAGGGUGAUCGGCCACACUGGAACUGAGACACGGUCCAGACUCCUACGGGAGGCAGCAGUAGGGAAUCUUCCGCAAUGGGCGAAAGCCUGACGGAGCAACGCCGCGUGAGUGAUGAAGGUCUUCGGAUCGUAAAACUCUGUUAUUAGGGAAGAACAUAUGUGUAAGUAACUGUGCACAUCUUGACGGUACCUAAUCAGAAAGCCACGGCUAACUACGUG